UUCGUAGGCGGUGCGGCAAGUCGGGAGUGAAAUCUCUGGGCUUAACUCGGAGGCUGCUUCCGAAACUGCCGUGCUCGAGUGCGGGAGAGGCCAGUGGAAUUGCAGGUGUAGCGGUGAAAUGCGUAGAUAUCUGCAGGAACACCCGUGGCGAAGGCGGCUGGCUGGACCGCAAUUGACGCUGAGGAACGAAGGCUAGGGGAGCAAACAGGAUUAGAUACCCUGGUAGUCCUAGCCCUAAACCAUCAGGACUUGGGGUGCAUCCCGUUGGGGGUGCGUCCCGUAGCUAACGCGUUAAGUCCUGCGCCUGGGGAGUACGGUCGCAAGGCUGAA
This 330-nucleotide ribosomal RNA is filed under the name uncultured bacterium. RNAcentral describes it as "bacterial SSU rRNA". It matches the Rfam family "Bacterial small subunit ribosomal RNA", at positions 568 to 898 of the family's 1533-position model. The record is from RNAcentral.